RNAcentral lists this ribosomal RNA (300 nucleotides) under uncultured Ignisphaera sp. RNAcentral describes it as "bacterial SSU rRNA". The stretch from base 52 to 300 matches the Rfam family "Bacterial small subunit ribosomal RNA", at positions 547 to 795 of the family's 1533-position model. The record is from RNAcentral. Lineage: Archaea; Thermoproteati; Thermoproteota; Thermoprotei; Desulfurococcales; Desulfurococcaceae.
GCGACAUACGUGAGGAGAGGUCGGGGAAUACGGUGGGGGCGGGGGUGUAGCGGAAGUACGGGGCGGAAAGUGGGGUAAGGCGGCCGGGCAAGUCGAGGGUGAAAGCCCCGAGCUUAACGUGGGAACUGCGCUCGAAAGUACGUGGCUGGAGUGUGGGAGAGGAAGGUGGAAUUCCAGGUGUAGCGGUGAAAUGCGUAGAGAUCUGGAGGAACACCGAUGGCGAAGGCAGCCUUCUGGGCCAACACUGACGCUCAUGCACGAAAGCGUGGGGAGCAAACAGGAUUAGAUACCCUGGUAGUC